This is a transfer RNA of Streptomyces sparsogenes DSM 40356, 72 nucleotides long. It matches the Rfam family "tRNA". From Rfam's summary of the family: Transfer RNA (tRNA) molecules are approximately 80 nucleotides in length. Their secondary structure includes four short double-helical elements and three loops (D, anti-codon, and T loops). Further hydrogen bonds mediate the characteristic L-shaped molecular structure. tRNAs have two regions of fundamental functional importance: the anti-codon, which is responsible for specific mRNA codon recognition, and the 3' end, to which the tRNAs corresponding amino acid is attached (by aminoacyl-tRNA synthetases). tRNAs cope with the degeneracy of the genetic code in two manners: having more than one tRNA (with a specific anti-codon) for a particular amino acid; and 'wobble' base-pairing, i.e. permitting non-standard base-pairing at the 3rd anti-codon position. Lineage: Bacteria; Bacillati; Actinomycetota; Actinomycetes; Kitasatosporales; Streptomycetaceae. The record is from Rfam.
GCCCCCGUAGCUCAGGGGAUAGAGCAACGGCCUCCGGAGCCGUGUGCGCAGGUUCGAAUCCUGCCGGGGGCA